AAAACUUGGAAGGGAAGCCCUAAAGUUUGGAUUGUACUACACAGGGAGUUAAAUAUUAUUAAAAACAACGUACUCCCUCCAAUAAAAAGGUUCCUAUGGGUUCUUGUUACCCCCAUAAGGAUUAAAACCUGCGCUUCAGCUGGGCAACUUUCCUGCUUGAUCAUGCCAUAAUUUAGAAGUUUGCUGAGCUACAGCUAUUUGCAGUUGUUAGACUGAAACGUCCUUUCAUCUCUGCAAUCUCAUUCAGUCCCCUAGCAUUGUGGGGAUUCAGGCAAACCACUAUAAAUAACUGAGCCUUUUCAUGUCAGCUGGUACAAAUACCAGCCACUUCGAACAAUCUGACCUUUCUUGGGGAUCUGACCGAUCUGCAGUGGAAGACGGCUAAUAUCUUUCAGGAUCUUCCAUGGUUAAGUAAAUCAAGAGAGAAUGCAUUUGUGUUGGACCAUGCGAAAGCACAAAGUGAUGCUGGUUCCUUCCCAUACUGACUAAACCCGUAUGUCUGCUGUGCAUAAACACCGCUACCUGCUUGGAACCCCUUCAGACCUCAGAUUCCCAUUUGCAGCUGUCUCUGGCAUGUCGCAAGAAAAGAUGAUGGAUGGGCAGAAUUUUAUUUCCAUUAAAAUGAAGCCAACUAAAUAUUUUUGUCUGCUUUAUUAAAAAAUACUAUUUCUUGCUUUGCUUAAUCUUGAAAAAUGCAGCAUGUUUCUGCAGCUGAUUUUGCAUUUUAUCUAGAAAAUGGGUGCCUGAGGUGGAAUGAUUUUCUCUGGGAACAGAGUAAGCUGCAGUUUUGACUUCCUUCUGCUGGGCAGAGGGCACCCAGUGUGGGAGAAGCUAAUAGCCCCACAGCUACCAUCUCCCCAGAGGGGUCAUACUUCAUGGUUUGGGCAAGAUGACCCCCAAAGUCCAACAAUGAAGGCAGUCAGGGAGACUGGAGAUCCUCCUGUCAACUAAGCCUUGCCAUCAGGCUUGCUGCUCCUCUUCCUGACCAUGUCCGAGUCCUGCAGAGCACUGCUCUCCCUCCUUGAGGGGUUUCUGUAAUUCCUGCUGUUGACACAAUUCGUAGUUGGAAUCAGUUCCAGAAGAUUGCUGGAAGAGAGCACUGAAGUGUUUGGAUUUGAUGGGAUUGGGUGGCAGGGAGGGAAACACAUUAGAAGCACAAGAGCUUGGCAUCUAACACAGGGGCCUGAGGGUGUCAGAUUUGAGUGAACAACUGCUCUAUCACGGUAUCUAUAUAACUAAAUCUGUCCAAAAAACACAGUUUGUCCAAGGUUCUUCUUUACUUGCAUUGUUUCUCCUCCUUCUCUCUUGUUUUCCCAGAAAUAGAACAUGACAUUUAUUUUUAUGGACAGCAUGAUCUUAUGGCUAUUCCCUAGUGACGGGGUAAUCUGAACACAAUUAUGUUCUGUUGACAAAAAGUGAUAAAAGUGUAUUGUGUCAACACUCUGAACUAACAGAUUUGUCAUCUGUUCUACUCUCAGAUAAUAGAAACAGAAUUAGAAAAUGC
Long non-coding RNA from Pezoporus occidentalis (night parrot), 1504 nucleotides. RefSeq lists it as uncharacterized. The transcript is spliced from 2 exons. The record is from RefSeq and is a predicted model, not a curated record. NCBI's taxonomy places the organism in Eukaryota, Metazoa, Chordata, Aves, Psittaciformes, Psittacidae.